UCCCUAGUGGCUCAGACAGUAAAGAAUCUGCCUGCAAAGCAGGAGACCCAGGUUCAAUCCCUGGGUCAGGAA
This 72-nucleotide transfer RNA is filed under the name Capra hircus (goat). It matches the Rfam family "tRNA". From Rfam's summary of the family: Transfer RNA (tRNA) molecules are approximately 80 nucleotides in length. Their secondary structure includes four short double-helical elements and three loops (D, anti-codon, and T loops). Lineage: Eukaryota; Metazoa; Chordata; Mammalia; Artiodactyla; Bovidae. The record is from Rfam by way of RNAcentral. RNAcentral also lists the same sequence under 1 other name.